Molecule: ribosomal RNA, 429 nt
Filed under: Bacillota bacterium
Lineage: Bacteria; Bacillati; Bacillota
Description: Firmicutes bacterium partial 16S ribosomal RNA
Rfam family: Bacterial small subunit ribosomal RNA
Source: RNAcentral
UAGGGAAUCUUCGGCAAUGGACGGAAGUCUGACCGAGCAACGCCGCGUGAGUGAAGAAGGUUUUCGGAUCGUAAAGCUCUGUUGUUAGAGAAGAACGUUGGUAGGAGUGGAAAAUCUACCAAGUGACGGUAACUAACCAGAAAGGGACGGCUAACUACGUGCCAGCAGCCGCGGUAAUACGUAGGUCCCGAGCGUUGUCCGGAUUUAUUGGGCGUAAAGCGAGCGCAGGCGGUUCUUUAAGUCUGAAGUUAAAGGCAGUGGCUUAACCAUUGUACGCUUUGGAAACUGUAGGACUUGAGUGCAGAAGGGGAGAGUGUAAUUCCAUGUGUAUCGCUGAAAUGCGUAGAUAUAUAGAGCAACUCCGGUGGCGAAAGCCGCUCUCUGGUCUGUAACUGUCGCUGAGGCUCGAAAGCGUGGGGAGCAAACAGG